Molecule: ribosomal RNA, 397 nt
Filed under: uncultured bacterium
Lineage: Bacteria
Description: bacterial SSU rRNA
Rfam family: Bacterial small subunit ribosomal RNA
Source: RNAcentral
GGAAUAUUGGACAAUGGGGGCAACCCUGAUCCAGCCAUGCCGCGUGCGUGAAGAAGGCCUUAGGGUUGUAAAGCGCUUUCGGCGGGGAAGAUGAUGACGGUACCCGCAGAAGAAGCCCCGGCCAACUCCGUGCCAGCAGCCGCGGGAAUACGGAGGGGGCGAGCGUUGUUCGGAAUUACUGGGCGUAAAGAGCGCGUAGGCGGCGAGACAAGUCAGGCGUGAAAGCCCCGGGCUCAACCUGGGAGGUGCGUUUGAGACUGUUUUGCUGGAGUCCGGGAGGGGAUGGCGGAAUUCCCAGUGUAGAGGUGAAAUUCGUAGAUAUUGGGAAGAACACCGGUGGCGAAGGCGGCCAUCUGGACCGGCACUGACGCUGAGGCGCGAAAGCGUGGGGAGCAAA